RNAcentral lists this ribosomal RNA (724 nucleotides) under uncultured Fusobacterium sp. RNAcentral describes it as "bacterial SSU rRNA". It matches the Rfam family "Bacterial small subunit ribosomal RNA", at positions 28 to 776 of the family's 1533-position model. Lineage: Bacteria; Fusobacteriati; Fusobacteriota; Fusobacteriia; Fusobacteriales; Fusobacteriaceae. The record is from RNAcentral.
GAUGAACGCUGACAGAAUGCUUAACACAUGCAAGUCGACUCGAGUCUUCGGACUUGGGUGGCGGACGGGUGAGUAACGCGUAAAGAACUUGCCUCAUAGUCUGGGACAACAUUUGGAAACGGAUGCUAAUACCGGAUAUUAUGCUUUCUUCGCAUGGAGGAAGUAUGAAAGCUAUAUGCGCUAUGAGAGAGCUUUGCGUCCCCUUAGCUAGUUGGUGAGGUAACGGCCCACCAAGGCGAUGAUGGGUAGCCGGCCUGAGAGGGUGAACGGCCACAAGGGGACUGAGACACGGCCCUUACUCCUACGGGAGGCAGCAGUGGGGAAUAUUUGACAAUGGACCAAAAGUCUGAUCCAGCAAUUCUGUGUGCACGAUGACGUUUUUCGGAAUGUAAAGUGCUUUCAGUCGGGAAGAAGCAAGUGACGGUACCGACAGAAGAAGCGACGGCUAAAUACGUGCCAGCAGCCGCGGUAAUACGUAUGUCGCAAGCGUUAUCCGGAUUUAUUGGGCGUAAAGCGCGUCUAGGCGGCAAGGAAAGUCUGAUGUGAAAAUGCGGGGCUCAACUCCGUAUUGCGUUGGAAACUGCCUUACUAGAGUACUGGAGAGGUAGGCGGAACUACAAGUGUAGAGGUGAAAUUCGUAGAUAUUUGUAGGAAUGCCGAUGGGGAAGCCAGCCUACUGGACAGAUACUGACGCUAAAGCGCGAAAGCGUGGGCAGCAAACAGG